This 5160-nucleotide long non-coding RNA is filed under the name Xyrichtys novacula (pearly razorfish). Lineage: Eukaryota; Metazoa; Chordata; Actinopteri; Labriformes; Labridae. The record is from RNAcentral.
UCGGAGUUGGGAAUGAGAUCACACCCGAGUUGACAGCGUUCCACUAAACAAGUCAAAAAACCAAGAUGUACAACCACUGUUGUAACAGUAGCCAUUGUUAGCUCCACUAGUUGAAAACAAUGCAUAACAUGAUAUUUUACAAAUACAAACACCAUAGUAACAUGUCCACAGUUAUGCUGCGUUCGAGUUACCUCAAAAGCAAGAUGUCCAAGCUGGGAAUGACGUCACACCCGAGUUACCAGCGUUUUAGUUACCAAGUCGGGAGAAAGCAAAAUCGGAGGUGGAAACUAGAUGGCUACAUCUACGAGUUAUUUUAGCACUUGCCUUGUCCUUGCUUAUACUCGGACAAGGCAAGCGCUAAAAUAACUUUCGUAGAUGUAGCCAUCUUGUUUCCGCCUCCGACUCGACAGCUCGGACUCCGACUUCCGAGGUAACUCAAGCUCAGCAUUGGACAUUGGACAGUACUACAUUAUAAUACGCCACUUACCUAAUCUCUCAAAAACAGAACUGCUAAUAAAUAAUACAUUACAAGAGUUGUCACUGUUUACUGUUGACCCACAGCACUGCCAUCUUGAAGUAUGACGUUGUGGUCAAGUCGUGGUUGGUGAUGAUCGGCUGACUUUCCGAGUCUGAAAUCCAACUUCAGGGGCAGAAUUCCAUAUGAAUUUCCGACUCGGGACUCAGAAAAUCGAACUUCCCAGUACAACUGAAACACAGCAUUAGCCUCACUGCACCCAAAGGUGAUGCUGUACAGGUUGCAGGUUAUGGUUAAAUGAAAAGAGGAGUUUUUAAAGAUUUAUGAGAGGCUUUCUGUUUGAAAAUAUGCUGGGAAGAUUAAAUUCACUCUGACUGUUUAACCGUAAAUACACAACAUGAGUUCCUAACUGUAUUGUCCUAGCAUUGAACAAAAACUAGUUUAAGAGCGAUCCAGCUAGCCUGGCACACUCCAGAAAUAACACAGUUAUCGUUCAUUAUCAUUUGAUCUAAUAUCGAAUUAAUGUAUGUUUAAAAAGGUAUCAUAGUUGAACUAAAAGCAUCAUCCUGACCACAAAGACAUAUCGCCAAGUAACACAGCAGACUAUAUGGUCCAAAUGCAUGAAACACAGGUAUUUAAUGCAUGCGGUUUGCCCAGUCAGUGGUAAAACUAAGUGUUAAGAAGGACUGUCGUCUCACUGUUGCAUCGAUUGUAUCCCAAUCUAAUUCUGUCCUGUCUCCGAUGUCCCAGAGAGAGGUGGCUCACCACAGUUCAGAUCCAUCACCGGCUAAUGCAUUGUUGGACGAGAUACAAUUGUUUAUUGUUUUCUAGCUUUAACCUGCUUCCCUAUGAUGUUCAUUGAUCUCUAAAGUGAUCCGUGGUCCCUGGCUCCACAUCAUUUGUUCUUCCGUUGAAAUGAUUGGUUUGAUCUCAAGGCCGGGCUUCAGCUGUAAUUACUGAGAUGGGAUUUCAACUGUCAGCAUGACGAAUGGCCGUUUGACUUUAUUUGUCUUGGCCUGCUAUUGGCUGGCAGUGCAGGCCGUCACUGAGGUAUUCUAUUUCCUUUACUCAGCACAGAAACAUAUUGAAUACCUCUUCCAUCACUUCAACAGAAAACCUUUGGAUAAAAACACAGAUUAUUUUCCCAGCACAAAAUCCCCUCGGUGAGCAGAACGGCUUGACAAGUCAACUUUGUGUUUUUCCAAGAGGACCUUUUGUCUUGUUUUGUUUUCCUGCUGUCACAAACUUUGUUUCACUAACUUUUCCUCUCUGUUCUUGCACACUCAUCGCCUGAGACCAAUGUAUUUUUUUUCAUUUUGUUACAAAUCAUUAAGCUGGUUUGCAGCGGGGGGACUCGCAAGGGGCAAGAUGCUUGCAGGUGCAGAUCUCUGGAGGUGUUUUUCGUGCAUCGAUGAAUACAGCUCCUGGCCCUGGCUGACCUUAAAGCCCUUAUCCCUGAGAAAGAAUCAAUUGUGCAACCAGAGUGCCGGCGCCGGCUGCUGGAGCACAACAACAAAAGCUAUGAGGGUUUUUUUUUCACAUUACUGAAUGAGCUGCAAUUUUUCUAUAUUUGGUAAAUAUUUGUCUAAAUGGACGAGGCUGCAGUUUGCCAAAUGAAUGAGCUAUUUCUGUCAAGGCCGCUGAUAGAAAUGUUUUCUUUAACAGCCUGCACACAAUGCCCCUGAAUGCCCCUUUCACAGCGACCUGUCCAUUAGCUGUUAAACAAGCUGUGGAACAUUUUGUCUUUCUGGAUGUAGCGACACCUCCGAAUAAAUUUUCUCCACAACAAAUCAGGAAAAAUGCAGUCAAAGCAAUUCGUUUAGCAGCAAGCAAAAGCUGCGCAGUCUGAGGUUGUCAAGCAUAAUAGAACUUUUUUCUCCUCCUCAGAGCAUUUCUUUUUUUUUUUUUUCUUUCGCGGCAGUGCUCUUUCCAGAUCAAUUAUUCCCACUAAAAUAAGUAAGAGGAGGCCAUGAAAUAUUAAUGCAGAGGCUGAGCAGGGGUUGAAAGCUUCCCUGACGCGGGGGUGUUGUAUCUGUUUUAUUUUUCAUGACGAUGGAGGGACCGUGGCGAGAAGGAGGCGCUGCAGUCGCUUGGGGCCGUUUCCGUGGUAGCUAAUUUAGUCGGCGGCCAAAAACCCACCAGAUGAAGCCCAAGUUGAAAGAAGGCGAAAGCUCAGAGCUUGGACCUCCCACCCUCCCUCUUCCGCCUCGUCUUCCUCCCAGUCCACAUCAGAAACCGUCUGUUAUCUAUUAUCCACACAACUACGGUUCAUUAUUUAGCGCCGCUGCUUAAACUGCUCACUCAAAUUAGCUCCUCAGACGGGCAGGAUGAGACGUGAGACAGUCGGUGUGUUUACUCCAUGUGCCUCACAGCAUUGUUGGCGUUUUCCUCGCCUUUCAUCUUCCUCCGUUAGCUUGGCGCCACGGGGGCAGGAGCACAGGAGAUGACUAAAUGGGAGAUUUGUUUGCCUGAUUGUAACGCAGCUUAAACUUUCAAAGCCGUUGAAAUACUAAAUUUGACAAAUAUAUUACCGUUAUGUUAUAUUUUCACGUCUCCUUGUUAAAUGAAUGUGGGAUUAUGUUAUCAGAACUACAGUCUUCUACCAAGCCCGACACUGUUGCACUAAGUUUAGCACGUUUAUUACCUUGUUUAAAAUGUUCCAUGAAAAAGUAAUGAGCAGCAGCCUAUUCUCAGAACUCUGUUUUUACAGCUGCCAUGUUUUAUGUAUUAAACAUGUUUUUUUUUUCAUUGUCCCCACCCCCCUCUGUGCUGUAGAAAGACUGUAUCAGCUCUCAAAUAAGCACAGCACCUACAGUACAGUGUGUGAAACAGGACAGCAGUGAUGAGGCACAUCUCACUGCUGGAGCUUUGAAGCUUUUUUGUUCCCACUGUAUGCAAACCGAGCCUCCACCUGCUCAUCAAACUGCUCAUUUGUCGCUCUGAAAACUGAUGUGCAGAGGAUGGGAUUGUUAUUCAUCAAACCUACAGAGCGUCUUUUCAAACAGUAAGGUUCACCGACUCUGGAAAUGCUUUGUUGAACUUUAUCAGGGAUGUAAAUUCAGCUCUUUGUUUUUAUUAGAAAGUACAAGAGUAUGUCUGAGGAGACUUUGCUUGAAUCAGAAGUUAAAGGUGAGACAAGGUUACAGGAAACUGAUUUGGAUCUCAUUUUUCUCUAGCUUUCAGAUAUUAUUUGAAAUGAAGAUGAAAUAAAAGGGUUGGCCCGACCAAAUCACAAAAGGAGUAUUUCACUUUCUGUCUCAUCUUUGGUGGUAUUUAGAUGUAGAGAUAGUUUAGGGGAUUUUACUCAGGUUUUUGUGAAACUCUACUCCUUUAGUUUAUGUCCCAUCUGGAUGAAAUGAGGAUGGAUGUGAAAAGACACGUUAAAAAGAAAUCUCAAUUUCUGUUUUGUGCUCAUUUGCCAGUUUGUAUAAUGCGGAUGUAUCUUUGUAAUUACAAAGAGAACAUCAACCAAACAAAUCAAGGAUGCGCAAUAUUUUCAUUAUUACAUACCAGCCAUCGUUUCACGCUGAAAGUAAGACAACGCAGCCGCAAUAAAAUCUCUAGAGUAAAUUAGAGCUACAAGUAUCCGAAGAAGAAAAAUCAGCUUCAAGUUUUAUAGUCAUCGUUGCAAAAGCAUGUUGAUUAAAUCUGAAGUAGCAGUUAGCAUGGGCAUCAAAACAUCAUUAGGUGCUAAAGUGCCGAUUAAACAGACAUCUUAGAGCUUCAGACAAUCCCUCAGAGACGCUAAAUUACUCUAAGUGUUGUUGUAAUCAAAACUGAUCCUGGUCAAGUGGUCUCAAGGCCAGUAUUGAGGUCACUUUUUAAGACAUCCUCUCAGAAUUAGAGGCUUUUUAUCUUGGUCUCUGUUCAGUCCCAGAUUUUCAUUUAAGAUUUUAAAUGAAGGCCAGAGAUGGGUUAUGUACUCACAUUAUGACUGUGAUUUGAAUGAAAAUUGACAUGCUUUAAAAGGUGUAAAGAUGGCAGCCAACGCACCAGUUUCUGGAGUUUCUUCAAUCAAGAUUAAAACCAAAUUUCUAGAGACUUAGAUGCUUCCUGUGAUUGCUCCUGUUUUUUACACAUUUAAAGUAAUUCAUGGGCCUAAUUUUAUACUUUUUAGUAAUUUAUUCAUUUUAAAAAAUAAGAUGUUUAUACUGGCUUGUUAAUGAGUGUGGCUUUAAGUAGGUAUAAUGACAUAAUUUUGGUUGGAAAAACUCAUUAAGAUUUGUGAUUUUUCUGAAAUGUGGUGCUCUGAAGAUGAAAGUGCAGAGGAAUGAGUUGUUACUGUAAAAUUUAGUUAAAGCAGAUUUGAAUUGAAAAUGAGAAUUCAUUUAUUUGGUGUUAGUCUUGUUUUGAUGUCACUUCAUCUUGGUCUCAGUCCCUAAACACACAUUGUUUAUUAUAAAAAGACAUUACCUCUUACCUGCAUGUUUAAGCUUAGUUAGCCUGUAAACUGUUCAUUAAGUAUGUGUGCAGAAUACCUUCAGUGCUCCCAUCCAUUCAUAAAACACACAUGCUCAGUGUUAUGUGCUCUAAGGAUGAGCUUGAUUUGCAGUUUAUUCAUUUUGAAUUUCAUGUGCUCUCACUCUGUCCACUGAUCCAACAAUAUGAUCUGAUUAGCCGUGACACAUUAAUGCAUUUUGAUUUUCUUGCUCUGAGCGAUGCCAGGCCCAAUCCUUCACGCUAAU